UGCUGCGGUUAAAAAGCUCGUAGUCGGAUGUCGGGCGCGGUCGAUCGGUCCGUCGCGAGACGUGUCACUGGUCGGCCGGCCAAUGCAGCCUGUGUCCCGGCGGUGCUCUUGAUUGAGUGCCGCCGGUGGGCCAGGCCGGUUACUUUGAAAAAAUUAGAGUGUUCAAAGCAGGCCCUGGGAGCCUGAAUAUCGGUGCACGGAAUAACGAAAGAGGACCUCGGUCUUGCUUUUGUUGGUUUUUGAAGGCGCGAGGUAAUGAUCGAGAGAGACGGACGGGGGCAUCCGUACUGUGCCGUCAGAGGUGAAAUUCUUGGACCGGCGCAAGACGAACUACUGCGAAAGCAUUUGCCAAGAAUGUUUUCCUUGAUCAAGAGCGAAAGUCAGAGGUUCGAAGACGAUCAGAUACCGUCCUAGUUCUGACUGUAAACGAUGCCGACUGGCGAUCGGGCGGCGUUUGCUUUUGAAGACCCGCCCGGCAGCCUCCGGGAAACCAAAGUCUUUGGGUUCCGGGGGAAGUAUGGUUGCAAAGCUGAAACUUAAAGGAAUUGACGGAAGGGCACCACCAGGAGUGGAGCCUGCGGCUUAAUUUGACUCAACACGGGGAAUCUCACCCGGCCCGGACACAGCGAGGAUUGACAGAUUGAGAGCUCUUUCUUGAUUCUGUGGGUGGUGGUGCAUGGCCGUUCUUAGUUGGUGGAGCGAUUUGUCUGGUUAAUUCCGAUAACGAACGAGACUCUGGCCUGCUAAAUAGUUACGCGACCCCUGAGCGGUCGGCGGAUUGAACUUCUUAGAGGAACUAGCGGCGUUUAGCCGCACGAGAUUGAGCAAUAACAGGUCUGUGAUGCCCUUAGAUGUUCGGGGCCGCACGCGCGCUACACUGACCGGAUCAGCGUGUCUUUCCCUGGGCCGAAAGGUCCGGGUAAUCCGCUGAACCCCGGUCGUGCUUGGGAUAGAGAGUUGCAAUUGUCGCUCUUGAACGAG
Molecule: ribosomal RNA, 981 nt
Filed under: Doliolum nationalis
Lineage: Eukaryota; Metazoa; Chordata; Thaliacea; Doliolida; Doliolidae
Description: SSU rRNA
Rfam family: Eukaryotic small subunit ribosomal RNA
Source: RNAcentral